Long non-coding RNA from Hipposideros armiger (great roundleaf bat), 2810 nucleotides. RefSeq lists it as uncharacterized. The transcript is spliced from 5 exons. NCBI's taxonomy places the organism in Eukaryota, Metazoa, Chordata, Mammalia, Chiroptera, Hipposideridae. The record is from RefSeq and is a predicted model, not a curated record.
GUUGUUGCCCAUGUCGUAGACGGAAUAGUAGGACCUAAGGAAGACGUCCCCGAGGAUCCACAGGGGCUGGCCAUUCUGGGAGGGCAGCCUCUUUCCAGAGAAGGGAGUUUAGAAUCAAUGAGCGGAGAAAAUAAAUCAACACUUUAAGAGUCGGAACAUAUCACAAGGAUCCUGGACUCUUCAGCAAUGCUCUGCUAAACCCAUUCACGUUGAGCUAUGAAGACUGAUAGCUUCUCCAGCCACCUCAACAGAAUUCAUAUGUUACAAGACGUUUCUAAGAAGAGCCAUCUCUCCAUCCACAGAAUCUCUAAUGGUGGGACAGCAGCAGUGUGGUCAGCCCCAGCUCUCCUGAUGUCCGGGGAGCCACGCCACUCACUCCCUUUCUCCUGACACCUCAGCAUAUAGAAAUUACAUUACUGAUGUCUCUGCUUAGGAGCUGGAGGCAGAGCAAGACUACCACCAUCCACUUCAUGAUGCCAAUUCCCAACUGGCUGCAGAGGAAAAGCCACUUCAAGUUGAGCAGUCGUGGUGGAGUGAAGGCCUGAGCACUGCUUCUUCCUUUAUACCCCCCGGGACCCAGCCCAGUCCCCACCUCCCUGCCCUGGCCAAACAUGACCUCAACCCCUGCUGUACCCUGAGCUCCACGUUCCAAUUGUUUCCUUCUGUUGACCCUCGUGAGGGUGGCUGCGAAAGACUUUUCAUCUUAUUGACUUUUUAAUGCAGGCAAUGGAAGCUGGGAGGUGCGAGCGAUAAGAGAGAACAAAGUUGGAGUGACGAAGAUUAUUUCUUAUCCAGGAACCAAAGGUGUGAUGUGGGCCUUUUGGGAUGAGAGCCAGAGAAAGGUAGAGCCAGAGGGAUGGCUGUAAGAUCUGUAAUUGGGCUUCUCAUCCUCGGUACUAUUGAUAUUUUGGAAUAAAUAGCUGUUCGUUGUGGGCACUGUCCUGUGCAUUGUAGAAUGUUUAGCAGAUUCUCUGGCUCCUACCCACUUGAUGCUAACAGUAGUCCUUCAGUUGUGACAGCCAAAAAAUGUCUCCAAGUAUGUCCAAAUGUCUCCUUAGGGGGCAAAGUUGUUGAGAACCACUGAUCUAUUUGCGAUAAGCUUGGAGGUCUGACUCAAGUCCUGGUUCCCAGCACCCCCAAACCCUUGGGGGAUGUAGUUAGGGGUGUCUGGGGGAUGAUGGGGUCAGCGGCUAGGAUGAUAGUAAUGAUAAUGGUGAUGGUAAGAGUGGUGGUGUUGGUGGUGCUGACGGCGGUACCGUUAGCACUGAUGCAGGUGGUAGGGCUGGGAUGCAGUGGUUGAGGUCAGAGAGAGCCUUUUGGGGCAGCUUUGGAGGCUUUCAAGGUCAUAGGGGGCAUCUGGAGGAAUUCGCAUCAAAAUUCAGCGAGUGCUCAGGACACACCCACAGGUAAGCCAAAUGGCCCCUGGUUAUGCCUCUUGUGCUAGUCUGGAACAAUAGAGGGCCUGGGUCAGGGGCACACGGAGAGGGGCAUGUCUGCCCUUGCUUCUGCUCUUCAUUGUCUCUUGUCUCCCACUCCAUUUUGACUCCGCCCAUUUUUAGCUCUGAAAUUGCUGUGACCCCCAUUACCUUCCCCCUAAGCUCUAGGUGUCCCCUUUUCCUGCCCCCAAGCCUGACCUGUCCUGUACCUCCAUCCCUUAUCUCCAGGGCCUCCCUGCUUUCCAGCUACAAGCUUCUCAUUGCCUGAGGUGACCUGGAGCUGGCCCAGCACCCGUUAACCUAGCACCGGGGAGCUCCUCAUUUUGGGAGGCUGAAAGCUUCCAGAGGGCCGAGGCUGCAGCUCCCACCUCCGUGUGCCUAGCCCGGAGCUCAGGAAAUCCUGAACAGUAGAUGGAGCCCGUGGGAUUGUUCCACACCUUGGUUGUACCUCCCACAUCUCAUUAUCCUGGUGCUUGGAUUCUCACGCCAUGCUCCAAGGCAUCUUGUCAAAAUCCAGGCCCUGGGAUCCUCCCACAGUGAUUGUCUCCCAGGAAAGAGGCAUUUUUCUCAUCACCUUCUGGCUUCGUCUCCCUCUAAGCACCACCUGACCCAAAACUCAUCAAAGCCCCACCCCCUCACCCCUGCCAUGGCUAACUAAAUAAAAUCCAUCUCACACCCUGGCCUUAGGGACAUGAUCAGUCUGGUCCCUUCCAACACUUCCAUGCUCAUCUUUCACUAUGAACCUACUAACGCUCUACCCUCUAGCCACAGUGGCCUCUGGCUUCCGCCCAUGGAGGCCUGUUACAUUCCACCCUCCAUGCCUCUAUUCACGCUGUGCUCUCUAUCUGGAACACCCUUCCCAAGCAUCUCCAUCUGCAAGAUCUCCUCCUCCUUCAAGACCCACUACAAAUGCCACAAAGCCUUCUCUACUGUGACCACCUACUCCCAAACUGGCCCCUCUUGUGGAGGACUUUGCUUUUCCUCCUCUUAUGGUAUUUAUUUCACACCAUCUUAUAUCCCAGUGAUUUGCCCCAAAUCCUACUGCUCGUAACUAAAAGAAGAGGUCUAUUCCUGCACACGGCUCCUUAAAUAGCUCAUUCAUCUUUUGGAGUGUCUACAAAAGUGACACUGGUUGCUGGGAGUAUGUCAAGAAGAGAUGGCAACUACAUAACAUGCACACUGCCACUGCUAAUCCUUCACUCGUGGCAGACAUCACUAAUCAACCAUAUCACUCUUUCCCAUAAUGCUGAGACAUGGCCUUAGGAUCCUUCCCAAUCUUGUGCUCCAUGCAGCCAUUCUCAAUCAAUCUUACAAUGACAAUCCCCAAGUCCUUUCAUGGAAGAUUUUGUUGUUGUUGUUGCUUUAAAACUCUGG